GAGUCGUUAUUCGCUUAUUCAAGAUAGCAACAACAACAAAACUGAAUUUGAAAUCAAAUGUACUAUAAUUGUGGUGAUAAAAUAACAAAUUUAGACUAUUGAUUUGAGAAAUUCCACAGUUUGAUGAAUAUUUUUUUCAGGUUAAGUUGUGUAGUGAUGCAUGCCGUUCGCUGGCGUGGAACAACGUGCUCCCAUCUAGUCCAUUGUGAAAACUUUCAUCGUGACUUCAGUGCAGGAUAGUUGGACACAGAAUGAAAGAAGAGAGGCUGUCUAGGAAGACGAUGGAAUUGGGAGUACACAGGAACAAGGCCCCCAAGGAAGACAAGGAGGAGGUUGGAAGAGCAGAAGAGAGAGGAGAAGAUUGGUGCAGCGACAGAGGAAGUCGGAGGUAUUUUACUUCGCUGACCCGGCAACAGGCUGGAGGCAGUUGAUGUUUAUGAUUAUCAUGUUACACACUUGUUUCAGUAAACUGAUGCAGUCUUGCAGAUUAAGAAAAUGAGACUUGUAAAAAUUUUCUCCAGGUAUUUAACUUGACAGGUUUCUUCAUCUAGUCUGGUAAAGCAAAUUCUCUCACACACUUAAAAGACAUAACUGCUGGUCCACUCUGUAUUUUUUUUUUUAUGUAUUAAUACUUUCUUCCUUGUUAUAUUUGAGUGGUCAGACUAGAAAAAAAUUAAAUAAACAGAGACAAAUUUUGUGUUGCAGUUUAUCAACAUCCUAUCUGUAAUUGGGCAGAAAUUCAGAAUUAUUGGUGUGUGAUUAUGCACUUUUUAGAGACUGAUGAAGUUGUGAGUUUUUUGGUUUUGUUUUUUUAACAACGUAUAUUUUGAUUUCUCUUGAACUUAUGUUAAAUUUUUUGUGAGGUUUGAUCUAUAUUUAAAACAAUUUAUCUAGCUGCAUGCUAGUGCCAAAUUACAUAAUACCAAAAUAAAGGGUCCGUAAAUAUGGCACUUUCUUAUCAUGAUUUAUAACUUUGUGAUUAACAAAUUUUAAUAAUUUGUAAAGACAAUCAAAUUAAAGUUAUAAAUAUUAGUAUACGCAAUAUCAGAAGAUAAUUUUAAGCAAUAAUAAAAUAUGUAAUUUUUGUACUGUACUACUAUUACAACAUAUACCCAAGUUGAAAUUACCUGCAAGGUAAAAUAUCUUUAUUUUGAAUUACUAUAUAUGUACUUUCUAAGAUGUUUCUCCAUCGUACAUUAUGGCAUAAGUAUUAUUUUAGUUGAAAAAGACAUAGUGACAUAAUUUUGUGAUAUUUGUACAAACAUUUCACGUUAUUUUCCAGGGGGCAAAAAUACUUUGUUUUACAUGAUAAGAAAAAUAUUUUGUACUAAAUAAUCUGCUUAGCACUAUAUGUAACUCCUAUGUAAUUUCUAGGGGCUGUGAAAACAUUUUGUAUUAAGGUAAUGAAGUUUAAUUGAAGUACUUAUUUUUGAGUAAAGUGGUUUCUUAAAUUGAAAUGUACAAAAUUUAAAAUUCAUAGUAGUUAAAUGCAUUCUGUGUAUGUAUUGCCUGCUGGAAAAUCAUUCAGUCUGUCUCGCAGCCUUGCAUUUAGAAUGUUACACAGUAUCACAUAUUGUUUAAAUUAUUAUUGUUUGUUAGUUUUUCAUAUUUGGUUUAAUUUUUAAAUUAUGUUUGAAUUGUUUAUUUUGUUGUUUAAAUUGAUUACAGUGUUUUAUCACACAGUUAUUUUAGGAUGUCAAAAUUUGGAGAAAAAAUUCUCACAUAAACAUUGCAUGAUGUUUUUGGUCCUGCUGUUAGAUUCUUGAUGCUUUGUCUAGGUUGUAAACAUGACAGGAUAAAGCAGCGUUGAACAGCAUUCGGUUUUCAAGUGGCUGUCGAACAAUUUGAUAGUUAUAAUGGGAAAAUAUAGUAUUACAAUUAAAAUGAACCGGUACAAUAUGAAUUUCUAUCUGAUAUGGUCAAUAUUUUUUUAGUCUUGCCCUUUGCCCAAUAUAUGUUACUUUUACUGUGUACAAUGUUGCCCAAGAUGUUUUCUUUCCCAUAUAAAAUUAUAUUUAGUUAUGUUUUCCAGCCUGUGUUAGGGUUACAGUUUUUUCCCCCCUCUAUUUAAAGUUGAACUAAAUAGGGGUUUGUUGCAUGACUUGCUUUUUAAUUAAAUGUACUAUACAUGCAAUGUGUUUUGUUAUUAUGAAAAACUUUUCAAUUGUGAUGUUAAUAAAUUAUGUGAUAAAACACUAUGGUUAAGAGUAAUGGUACAUUUCUAACAAGUGUUGACUGCCAAGCAUCUAAUGUUUGUAUUCAUGAAUUAUUUUAGACUUGGUGUCCUAUGAGUAGAUGAUAAAUUAAGGCUUUAGAAUUCUUAUAUGACAAUGAACAUGUUCACAGAACCAUUGGAUUUUUUAAAUCUUGUAACAUAUUCCUUGUUAAUAAUUUAUGUUCACUAAAUAAAUAUAUAAAAAUUUUGUUUUGAACAGGAAA
Long non-coding RNA from Bacillus rossius redtenbacheri, 2439 nucleotides. RefSeq lists it as uncharacterized. The transcript has 3 exons. The record is from RefSeq and is a predicted model, not a curated record. NCBI's taxonomy places the organism in Eukaryota, Metazoa, Arthropoda, Insecta, Phasmatodea, Bacillidae.